GAUUCUGGCUCAGAUUGAACGCUGGCGGCGUGCUUAACACAUGCAAGUCGCGCGUGAAAGGACUUCGGUCCGAGUAAAGCGGCGCACGGGUGAGUAACGCGUGGAUGAUCUACCCAUGAGUUAGGAAUAACGGCUGGAAACGGUCGCUAAUACCAAAUACGCUCCGAUUUCAACUUCGGGGGAAAGGUGGCCUCUGCUUGCAAGCUACUGCUCAUGGAUGAGUCCGCGUCCCAUUAGCUAGUUGGUGGGGUAACGGCCCACCAAGGCGACGAUGGGUAGCCGGUCUGAGAGGAUGACCGGCCACACUGGGACUGGAACACGGCCCAGACUCCUACGGGAGGCAGCAGUGGGGAAUAUUGCGCAAUGGGCGAAAGCCUGACGCAGCGACGCCGCGUGAGGGGAAUGAAGGUCCUCGGAUCGUAAACCUCUGUCAGGAGGGAAGAACCGCCACGGUGCUAAUCAGCCGUGGUCUGACGGUACCUCCAAAGGAAGCACCGGCUAACUCCGUGCCAGCCGCCGC
This 520-nucleotide ribosomal RNA is filed under the name uncultured bacterium. RNAcentral describes it as "bacterial SSU rRNA". It matches the Rfam family "Bacterial small subunit ribosomal RNA", at positions 15 to 518 of the family's 1533-position model. The record is from RNAcentral.